RNAcentral lists this long non-coding RNA (307 nucleotides) under Ricinus communis (castor bean). RNAcentral's name for it is "long non-coding RNA (RCOM_LNC003185)". Lineage: Eukaryota; Viridiplantae; Streptophyta; Magnoliopsida; Malpighiales; Euphorbiaceae. The record is from RNAcentral.
AUCAUUGCUAGCUCACAAACCACUAUCAUCGCCAUCAUCAUCCAUAGGUUGAGAAUCUUGCAUAAUGGCCUCCUUCUGUUCAAUGGUCAGACUUGGAUCAUCUAGUGGGGUUGGGAGAAUAGGAAAAGUGGAAUGUUCAAUAAUGGAGUGUUCAGUCCAUAGAUGUCCAUUGUAAGUGCAGACAAGUAGUGUAGAAACAUCGGUCCAUCCUAAAUUAUUUCUUAGUUGUAGAGUGUGAUCUUUAAGUCCAUUGUUAUUGUUGAAGGGGCAAAAUGUAAGGGCAUUUCAAUUGUUCUCCAAUAAUGAC